GUCUGGCUGGCUCAGUUGGUAGAGCAUGUGGCUCUUGAUCUCAAGGUUGUAAGUUCGAGCCCCAUGUUGGGUA
RNAcentral lists this transfer RNA (73 nucleotides) under Ailuropoda melanoleuca (giant panda). It matches the Rfam family "tRNA". From Rfam's summary of the family: Transfer RNA (tRNA) molecules are approximately 80 nucleotides in length. Their secondary structure includes four short double-helical elements and three loops (D, anti-codon, and T loops). Lineage: Eukaryota; Metazoa; Chordata; Mammalia; Carnivora; Ursidae. The record is from Rfam by way of RNAcentral.